This 1033-nucleotide ribosomal RNA is filed under the name Trypeta flaveola. RNAcentral's name for it is "eukaryotic LSU rRNA". It matches the Rfam family "Eukaryotic large subunit ribosomal RNA", at positions 943 to 1853 of the family's 3401-position model. The record is from RNAcentral. Lineage: Eukaryota; Metazoa; Arthropoda; Insecta; Diptera; Tephritidae.
UCUAGUAGCUGGUUCCCUCCGAAGUUUCCCUCAGGAUAGCUGGUGCAUUUAAAGAUUAUGUAAAAUAAUCUUAUCUGGUAAAGCGAAUGAUUAGAGGCCUUAGGGUCGAAACGACCUUAACCUAUUCUCAAACUUUAAAUGGGUAAGAACCUCACCUUUCUUGAUAUGAAGGUAGAGGUUAUGAUAUAAUGUGCCCAGUGGGCCACUUUUGGUAAGCAGAACUGGCGCUGUGGGAUGAACCAAACGUAAUGUUACGGUGCCUAAAUUAACAACUCAUGCAGAUACCAUGAAAGGCGUUGGUUGCUUAAAACAGCAGGACGGUGGACAUGGAAGUCGUAAUCCGCUAAGGAGUGUGUAACAACUCACCUGCCGAAGCAACUAGCCCUUAAAAUGGAUGGCGCUUAAGUUGUAUACCUAUACAUUACCGCUAAAGUAUAUGAUUUAUAAUACACAUGUAUUUUAAAUUUUGAAACUUUAGUGAGUAGGAGGGUACAAUGGUGUGCUUAGAAGUGUUUGGCGUAAGCCUGCAUGGAGCCGCCAUUGGUACAGAUCUUGGUGGUAGUAGCAAAUAAUCGAAUGAGACCUUGGAGGACUGAAGUGGAGAAGGGUUUCGUGUGAACAGUGGUUGAUCACGAGUUAGUCGGUCCUAAGUUCAAGGCGAAAGCCGAAAAUUUUCAAGUUUUAAUAUGAAUAAUAUAAAAUAUAAAAUUAUAAAUUUAAUUAAACACUUGAAUAAUUUUGAACGAAAGGGAAUACGGUUCCAAUUCCGUAACCUGUUGAGUAUCCGUUUGUUAUUAAAAAUGGGCCUUGUGCUCAUCCUGGCAACAGGAACGACCAUAAAGAAGCCGUCGAGAGGUAUCGGAAGAGUUUUCUUUUCUGUUUUAUAGUCGUACUACCAUGGAAGUCUUUCGAAGAGAGAUAUGGUAGAUGGACUAGAAGAGCAUGACAUUUACUGUUGUGUCGAUAUUUUCUCCUCGGACCUUGAAAAUUUAUGGUGGGGUCACGCAAACUUCUCAACAGGCCGUACCAAUAU